CAGGUGCGGAACCAAUGGAGAAGUCACCACGACCUUGGCUAAGCCCCCCUCUGGAGAUGGGCUGCCUUCAAGAACACUCAAAAAAAUCACUGGAGCUGGACCAGAAGGAGGCUGGAAUAAGGUGGAUCCAGCUGUCACCUGCCUAGAUGAGGCCCACAACAAAUGGGACGGUAGGCACAGCAGGCGGUGGCCUCGAGGGCUCAGUAGGAGCCCUGGACCCAGGCUCCCAGCAUUUAACAAGUCCCCAAACUCAGGGACAGGCUGAGUGAGCUCAGAGAGAACAGAGGAUGAAAUUGUGGAUGGAGAUGAAUUACAAGCACGAGCAAAACAGGCUCUAUUUAUUUCUCACUUGAGGUUGUGGCCCGAGAAUGGAUCCACCUUGUUUCCUCCCAAGGACUGGAGGGGAACUGAAGGGCAGCUAUGAGGUGCAUCUCGCCGGCCAGAGAGGCGCUCAGUGCUGGGUAAGCAGCGAGCCCUGU
Molecule: long non-coding RNA, 479 nt
Filed under: Macaca mulatta (Rhesus monkey)
Lineage: Eukaryota; Metazoa; Chordata; Mammalia; Primates; Cercopithecidae
Description: lncRNA (ENSMMUG00000059378.1)
Source: RNAcentral